This 496-nucleotide ribosomal RNA is filed under the name uncultured bacterium. RNAcentral describes it as "partial 16S ribosomal RNA". It matches the Rfam family "Bacterial small subunit ribosomal RNA", at positions 29 to 507 of the family's 1533-position model. The record is from RNAcentral.
ACGAACGCUGGCGGCGUGCCUAAUACAUGCAAGUUGAGCGCUGAAGGUUGGUACUUGUACCAACUGGAUGAGCAGCGAACGGGUGAGUAACGCGUGGGGAAUCUGCCUUUGAGCGGGGGACAACAUUUGGAAACGAAUGCUAAUACCGCAUAAAAACUUUAAACACAAGUUUUAAGUUUGAAAGAUGCAAUUGCAUCACUCAAAGAUUAUCCCGCGUUGUAUUAGCUAGUUGGUGAGGUAAAGGCUCACCAAGGCGAUGAUACAUAGCCGACCUGAGAGGGUGAUCGGCGACAUUGGGACUGAGAAACGGCCCAAACUACUACGGGAGGCAGCAGUAGGGAAUCUUCGGCAAGGGACGAAAGUAUGACCGAGCAACGCCGCGUGAGUGAAGAAGGUUUUCGGAUCGUAAAACUCUGUUGGUAGAGAAGAACGUUGGUGAGAGUGGAAAGCUCAUCAAGUGACGGUAACUACCCAGAAAGGGACGGCUAACUACGUG